UGGGGAAUAUUGGACAAUGGGCGCAAGCCUGAUCCAGCCAUGCCGCGUGAGUGACGAAGGCCUUAGGGUUGUAAAACUCUUUUGGCGGGGACGAUAAUGACGGUACCCGCAGAAUAAGCCCCGGCUAACUUCGUGCCAGCAGCCGCGGUAAUACGAAGGGGGCUAGCGUUGUUCGGAAUCACUGGGCGUAAAGCGCACGUAGGCGGACUGAUCAGUUGGGGGUGAAAUCCCAGGGCUCAACCCUGGAACUGCCUUCAAUACUGUCAGUCUUGAGUCCGAGAGAGGUGAGUGGAAUUCCUAGUGUAGAGGUGAAAUUCGUAGAUAUUAGGAAGAACACCAGUGGCGAAGGCGGCUCACUGGCUCGGUACUGACGCUGAGGUGCGAAAGCGUGGGGAGCAAACAGGAUUAGAUACCCCCGUAGUCC
Molecule: ribosomal RNA, 424 nt
Filed under: uncultured prokaryote
Description: bacterial SSU rRNA
Rfam family: Bacterial small subunit ribosomal RNA
Source: RNAcentral